GGAGCUGGCCGGGUGGCCGCGGCCCGGGUUCGCCCGGGUCGAGGAAAGUCCGGACUCCACAGGGCAGGACGCUGGGGAAAGUCCCAGGCGGGGCGACCCGUGGAAAGUGCAACAGAAAGCAGACCGCCUUCGCUUGCGGAGGUAAGGGUGAAACGGUGAGGUAAGAGCUCACCAGCGUGCCGGGUGACCGGUGCGGCUAGGUAAACCCCGUCCGGAGCAAGGCCAAGCAGGAGGUAUGGGCGGCCCGUCCACAAUGCCUCCGGGUAGGCCGCACGAGGCGAGCGGCAACGCUCGCCCCAGAUGGAUGGCCACCGCCGGGCGCGAGCGAUCGUCGCCCGGUACAGAAUCCGGCUUACAGGCCGGCUCCCACG
This 371-nucleotide RNase P RNA is filed under the name Actinomycetota bacterium. RNAcentral's name for it is "RNase P RNA component class A". It matches the Rfam family "Bacterial RNase P class A". From Rfam's summary of the family: Ribonuclease P (RNase P) is a ubiquitous endoribonuclease, found in archaea, bacteria and eukarya as well as chloroplasts and mitochondria. Its best characterised activity is the generation of mature 5'-ends of tRNAs by cleaving the 5'-leader elements of precursor-tRNAs. Lineage: Bacteria; Bacillati; Actinomycetota. The record is from RNAcentral.